Molecule: small nucleolar RNA, 92 nt
Filed under: Hordeum vulgare
Lineage: Eukaryota; Viridiplantae; Streptophyta; Magnoliopsida; Poales; Poaceae
Also listed under: 1 other name
Description: Small nucleolar RNA Z221/R21b
Rfam family: Small nucleolar RNA Z221/R21b
About the family: Z221 is a member of the C/D class of snoRNA which contain the C (UGAUGA) and D (CUGA) box motifs.
Source: RNAcentral
CACUAGUGAUUAGAAAAGUCAUGCACCACUCUGGAGAGAUUUAUCUCUUUGUGCUGAUAGAAAAACUAACAACCCAUUUUAUAACUGAGCUG